UACAGAGGCCCCCAAGCGUUAUCCGGAAUUAUUGGGCGUAAAGCGCGUGUAGGCGGUCUUUUAAGUCUGAUGUGAAAGCCCCGGGCUCAACCUGGGAAGUGCAUUGGAAACUGGGAGACUUGAGUACGGGAGAGGGUAGUGGAAUUCCUAGUGUAGGAGUGAAAUCCGUAGAUAUUAGGAGGAACACCGGUGGCGAAGGCGGCUACCUGGACCGAUACUGACGCUGAGACGCGAAAGCGUGGGGAGCAAACAGGAUUAGAAACCCUUGUAGU
This 272-nucleotide ribosomal RNA is filed under the name uncultured bacterium. RNAcentral describes it as "partial 16S ribosomal RNA". It matches the Rfam family "Bacterial small subunit ribosomal RNA", at positions 524 to 794 of the family's 1533-position model. The record is from RNAcentral.